Molecule: long non-coding RNA, 791 nt
Organism: Astatotilapia calliptera (eastern happy)
Lineage: Eukaryota; Metazoa; Chordata; Actinopteri; Cichliformes; Cichlidae
Source: Ensembl
CGGAAACAUUGGAUUGAUUUAAAAGCAGCCCACUGGCAGCUUUCCACCCAUGGCUUUGGAAAGAAAGAACCAUUGUCACCCCCACCCCUGCCGUGUUUAAGCUGACAAUAUCUGCACCAACCAUUUAUUCCUGUCUUCACCUGUGACAAGGAUCGCUGGGUUACUGUGAAGAUGUGACAGAAGCUUUGUGCUGCAGUCGCUAUGAGGACACUAAGGCUUUUGCUGGUAACCCUGACGCUGCUGGUGCUGGAAAGUCAGGGUUUUGAACUGCAGGAUACGAUCCAUGCGCUGAUAGAGGAGAACAUCCACCUCCAUGACCAGCUGGAGAACCUCACCAAGGCCCUCAGAGAGCUCAAACGGAUGCUGUGGCUUCACUCAAAUGACCCAGAUCAUCACCAUGAACAUCAUGAUGAAGAUGUCCAGCAUCUGUGGGACGAAUGGUCAGAACAUGGUAUCAGUGCAGAAACCCACCUCCUGCUGGAAAACACCUUUUGUGGGCAUGGCCUGCAUGGCUCAGCAGCUCCUCUCCACGGACACGGAGCACACCUCAUACGCCUGCUGAUGCUGCUGCAGCUGCUGCUGAUAAUGAUGAGAUGCCUGUAGGCUGCAGCGGUCUGAUGUCAGAAAAUGUUUCUUUCAUCCCGUCUCCCUCCCCUCACCCACUUGCAGCAGAUGGCUGAUUCAACCUGAGCCUGGAGGUUUCUUCCUGUUGAAAGGGAGUUUUUCCUUCCCACUGUCACCAAGUGAUCGCUCAUAACUGCUUGUUGGGGCUUGUCCUUCUAACAUUGCAG